GGCUGUUUGAACAGAAAAGGAAAUAAGAAGGGGAAAAGAAGAAAGAAAGAAAGAGGAAGAGGAGGAGAAGCAGAGUGGAAGGAGAAGAGAAGGAGCUGCUGUCCCUGCUCCUACGGCCCUGCUCCUACUGCAUGCGGCUAUUGAUGUUGCUAACCCUGUUGUAGCUACUGUCCAAGGGUUUAGUGACUACGAGUGCAGCUGAUCAAGGCCGAGGAUGGUGCACUGAAUAACAGGUUGCUGUACAUGGUGCUAAAAAAGGGGGCUGCUGCUACAUACUUGCUGCUAUACCUGCAAAAUUAAGAUGGUGGAACCAGUGCUAAGGCACGAUUGGACUUCAACAGCGGUUAUGAGGCUUGUGUCUACGAGACACCGAGUUGCUAAUGGAUUUCACUACUGUUAAUUUAGAUAUUUCUUUUGACAUAAAUAUUUAUGAAACGUGUAGUAAGUAAUAUUGUAACCUACUGUUGUUUACAGACAUGAAAUUUGUAUAAUAUAAAUUAUCAUUUUAGUACAUCACCAGUCGGAAAUGUAUGAUUUUAUUACUCGACUC
Molecule: long non-coding RNA, 550 nt
Organism: Macadamia integrifolia
Lineage: Eukaryota; Viridiplantae; Streptophyta; Magnoliopsida; Proteales; Proteaceae
Exons: 2
Source: RefSeq, a predicted model, not a curated record